Molecule: ribosomal RNA, 551 nt
Filed under: uncultured Allobrachymonas sp.
Lineage: Bacteria; Pseudomonadati; Pseudomonadota; Betaproteobacteria; Burkholderiales; Comamonadaceae
Description: bacterial SSU rRNA
Rfam family: Bacterial small subunit ribosomal RNA
Source: RNAcentral
GGGCGCAGCCUGAAUCCAGCCAUGCCGCGUGCAGGAAGAAGGCCUUCGGGUUGUAAACUGCUUUUGUACGGAACGAAAAAGCCCUGGUUAAUACCUAGGGCUGAUGACGGUACCGUAAGAAUAAGCACCGGCUAACUACGUGCCAGCAGCCGCGGUAAUACGUAGGGUGCGAGCGUUAAUCGGAAUUACUGGGCGUAAAGCGUGCGCAGGCGGUUUUGUAAGACAGAGGUGAAAUCCCCGGGCUCAACCUGGGAACUGCCUUUGUGACUGCAAGGCUGGAGUGCGGCAGAGGGGGAUGGAAUUCCGCGUGUAGCAGUGAAAUGCGUAGAUAUGCGGAGGAACACCGAUGGCGAAGGCAAUCCCCUGGGCCUGCACUGACGCUCAUGCACGAAAGCGUGGGGAGCAAACAGGAUUAGAUACCCUGGUAGUCCACGCCCUAAACGAUGUCAACUGGUUGUUGGGUCUUAGCUGACUCAGUAACGAAGCCAACGCGUGAAGUUGACCGCCUGGGGAGUACGGCCGCAAGGUUAAAACUCAAAGGAAUGGACGGA